RNAcentral lists this ribosomal RNA (925 nucleotides) under uncultured bacterium. RNAcentral's name for it is "bacterial SSU rRNA". It matches the Rfam family "Bacterial small subunit ribosomal RNA", at positions 33 to 949 of the family's 1533-position model. The record is from RNAcentral.
ACGCUAGCUACAGGCUUAACACAUGCAAGUCGAGGGGAAACGGCAUUUAGUGCUUGCACUGAAUGGACGUCGACCGGCGCACGGGUGAGUAACGCGUAUCCAACCUACCCAUUACUGUGGGAUAACCUGCCGAAAGGCAGACUAAUACCGCAUGGUCUUCGAUGACGGCAUCAGAUUUGAAGUAAAGAUUUAUCGGUAAUGGAUGGGGAUGCGUCUGAUUAGCCUGUUGGCGGGGUAACGGCCCACCAAGGCAACGAUCAGUAGGGGUUCUGAGAGGAAGGUCCCCCACAUUGGAACUGAGACACGGUCCAAACUCCUACGGGAGGCAGCAGUGAGGAAUAUUGGUCAAUGGGCGCGAGCCUGAACCAGCCAAGUAGCGUGCAGGAUGACGGCCCUAUGGGUUGUAAACUGCUUUUGUAUGGGGAUAAAGUCAAUCACGUGUGAUUGUUUGCAGGUACCAUACGAAUAAGGACCGGCUAAUUCCGUGCCAGCAGCCGCGGUAAUACGGAAGGUCCGGGCGUUAUCCGGAUUUAUUGGGUUUAAAGGGAGCGUAGGCCGGAGAUUAAGUGUGUUGUGAAAUGUAGACGCUCAACGUCUGACUUGCAGCGCAUACUGGUUUCCUUGAGUACGCACAACGUUGGCGGAAUUCGUCGUGUAGCGGUGAAAUGCUUAGAUAUGACGAAGAACUCCGAUUGCGAAGGCAGCUGACGGGAGCGCAACUGACGCUUAAGCUCGAAGGUGCGGGUAUCGAACAGGAUUAGAUACCCUGGUAGUCUGCACAGUAAACGAUGGAUGCCCGCUGUUGGUACCUGGUAUCAGCGGCUAAGCGAAAGCAUUAAGCAUCCCACCUGGGGAGUACGCCGGCAACGGUGAAACUCAAAGGAAUUGACGGGGGCCCGCACAAGCGGAGGAACAUGUGGUUUAA